Molecule: long non-coding RNA, 1355 nt
Filed under: Equus caballus (horse)
Lineage: Eukaryota; Metazoa; Chordata; Mammalia; Perissodactyla; Equidae
Description: lncRNA (ENSECAG00000035292.3)
Source: RNAcentral
AUCAGGGCAUAGGAAAUCAUUAAAAGGGCUCAGAUACCACUCGAUGGAAAGAACUCAAUUAGUACCAAACCUCUGUGCAGCAGCACUGGGUGCUGGAAGACCAUGUAACAAUGACUUUAACCCUUGAGUUCUCUAUCCGGUAAAACCACCAACUGAUAACAGGAGAAAGUGAAAAGAGAAUAGAGAGAGAGAUUAGCAUGAAAUAUUCUCAGUUAAAAGGAUUAUUUGCAGACAGAGGAAAACAUCCUUAUCUAUAGCUCCAAUCCUCAUCUCUUCAGAAACUGCUCCUGAAAAAGGCCUGAAAAUAACGUAGACAAAGCCAAUGGAAAACAACAACGGACCUAAUUCAAAUGAGUAAUUCACCCUUUGGAUUUGGGUUGGAGAUAUCUGAAGUGAGUCAGAACUGAACAGAAGUCACUAUUUAGGACAUAUUUUCCCCAGAGUGUGAAACAGGAUUAGGAAAUCCUGAAUCAAUCCAAGUAACUGCAUGGAAAGCUUCAGCGUGGAUGUGGUGUAGGAGUAGCUUCCGGGAAUAGUCCUGCAGCCCACUGUGCUAACUGACCUGGCCUUGUGACAUGAAAGUGUGAGGCCAGGGGUUUUCCCUUCUCAAGGUGGGGAGAUUCUUUUGGCUGCAGUUCCCACACAUGCUCCAGAAGGAUACAGGGAGAAUAAGGAGCGAAAACAAGCAUUUGAUACCAGCAGAAACCAACAAUAAGGGAGUGCAGCAAGGAAGCUGGUGCCAGAUCCGAGAUCCCUCCUCUCGUCCCACCUCACUUGUGCUUUCUGCUCUCAUGAAGUCAUCACUGGGAAGCCAACACUGGCAGCAGGAGAGGAUAUCCUGAGAUCUGGCCUGCAGUCUGACAAUACCUUUUUGGCACAUGCUCGCAAGUAUCUAUUUGCAAGUAAGAGCAAACCUACUUAAAAGAUGGUUCUUAGAAUUAAAAGCACUCCCAUCCCCAGCUGCAACAACAAAAACGUCUUCAGACAUUGUCAGUGUCUCCUGGGGAGCCCCUGGUUGAGAACAACUAUUCUAGACCAAGAUUUUCUGAAGGACCCCAAACAUCGUACGAUUGACCGGUUCUCAUAUUGAGUGUACAUCAACAUCUCCUAGAAGAACUCUGGAAGAUCCAUUUUAUCAAUGUUCUGGAUUGUGUUUAAUAUAAAAGCUUCGGUUUUCAAGUUAGUCAAGAUUGCAGAGAAAAGGGAGAAAUGGAAGAUAGUGAGGUGAUGAAAUGAGUUACAAAGAGCUGCGAGUUAGUUGCCUGAAGUCACAUAACUAAGAAGUGAUGAGAGAAAUUUUAUUUUCCCAUAGAGCAGAUUGGGUAGUUAGAACAAUUUUUCGGAGAGCUCAGGAC